RNAcentral lists this ribosomal RNA (495 nucleotides) under uncultured bacterium. Its description in RNAcentral is "partial 16S ribosomal RNA". It matches the Rfam family "Bacterial small subunit ribosomal RNA", at positions 28 to 507 of the family's 1533-position model. The record is from RNAcentral.
GACGAACGCUGGCGGCGUGCCUAAUACAUGCAAGUAGAACGCUGAAGGAGGAGCUUGCUUCUCCGGAUGAGUUGCGAACGGGUGAGUAACGCGUAGGUAACCUGCCUGGUAGCGGGGGAUAACUAUUGGAAACGAUAGCUAAUACCGCAUAAGAGUAGAUGUCGCAUGACAUUUGCUUAAAAGGUGCAACUGCACCACUACCAGAUGGACCUGCGUUGCAUUAGCUAGUUGGUGAGGUAACGGCUCACCAAGGCAACGAUACAUAGCCGACCUGAGAGGGUGAUCGGCCACACUGGGACUGAGACACGGCCCAGACUCCUACGGGAGGCAGCAGUAGGGAAUCUUCGGCAAUGGACGGAAGUCUGACCGAGCAACGCCGCGUGAGUGAAGAAGGUUUUCGGAUCGUAAAGCUCUGUUGUAAGAGAAGAACGAGUGUGAGAGUGGAAAGUUCACACUGUGACGGUAUCUUACCAGAAAGGGACGGCUAACUACGUG